CAGGACGAACGCUGGCGGCGUGCCUAACACGUGCAAGUCGAGCGGAGACUUACGGAAUGAAGCUUCUGUAGAAUGAAGUAAGUUUUAGCGGCGGACGGGUGAGUAACGCGUGAGCAACCUCUCUCUCAGUGGGGAAUAACACAGGGAAACUUGUACUAAUACCGCAUAGGACCACGACCCGGCAUCGGGACGGGGUGAAAGAUUAAUCGCUGAGAGGUGGGCUCGCGUCUGAUUAGAUAGUUGGUGGGGUAACGGCCUACCAAGUCGACGAUCAGUAGCCGACCUGAGAGGGUGAUCGGCCACAUUGGGACUGAGACACGGCCCAAACUCCUACGGGAGGCAGCAGUGGGGAAUAUUGCACAAUGGGCGCAAGCCUGAUGCAGCAACGCCGCGUGAGGGAAGACGGUCUUCGGAUUGUAAACCUCUGUCCUUGGUGAAGAAACAUGACGGUAGCCAUGGAGGAAGCCACGGCUAACUACGUGCCAGCAGCCGCGGUAAUACGUAGGUGGCAAGCGUUGUCCGGAUUUACUGGGUGUAAAGGGAGCGCAGGCGGGAAGGCAAGUCAGCUGUGAAAACUAUGGGCUUAACCCAUAGACUGCAGUUGAAACUGUCUUUCUUGAGUGGAGUAGAGGUAAGCGGAAUUCCGAGUGUAGCGGUGAAAUGCGUAGAGAUUCGGAGGAACACCAGUGGCGAAGGCGGCUUACUGGGCUCUAACUGACGCUGAGGCUCGAAAGUGUGGGGAGCAAACAGGAUUAGAUACCCUGGUAGUCCACACUGUAAACGAUGAUUACUAGGGUGUGGGAGGUUUGACCCCUUCCGUGCCGCAGUUAACGCAAUAAGUAAUCCACCUGGGGAGUACGGCCGCAAGGUGGAAACUCAAAGGAAUUGACGGGGGCCCGCACAAGCAGUGGAUUAUGUGGUUUAAUUCGAAGCAACGCGAAGAACCUUUCCAGGUCUUGACAUCCAACUAACGAACUAGAGAUAGAUUAGGUGCCCUUCGGGGAAAGUUGAGACAGGUGGUGCAUGGUUGUCGUCAGCUCGUGUCGUGAGAUGUUGGGUUAAGUCCCGCAACGAGCGCAACCCCUAUUGUUAGUUGCUACGCAAGAGCACUCUAGCGAGACUGCCGUUGACAAAACGGAGGAAGGCGGGGACGACGUCAAAUCAUCAUGCCCCUUAUGUCCUGGGCUACACACGUAAUACAAUGGCCGUUAACAAUGGGAAGCAAUACUGCGAAGUGGAGCAAAUCCCCAAAAACGGUCUCAGUUCGGAUUGCAGGCUGCAACUCGCCUGCAUGAAGCUGGAAUUGCUAGUAAUCGCGGAUCAGCAUGCCGCGGUGAAUACGUUCCCGGGCCUUGCACUCACCGCCCGUCA
RNAcentral lists this ribosomal RNA (1371 nucleotides) under uncultured bacterium. Its description in RNAcentral is "16S ribosomal RNA". It matches the Rfam family "Bacterial small subunit ribosomal RNA", at positions 25 to 1399 of the family's 1533-position model. The record is from RNAcentral.